AGAGAUUUAAGUUAAGAAAACUCAUAGCCUUCAAAGCUUUAAUUGAUAAAAGUCAAUCUCUA
RNAcentral lists this transfer RNA (62 nucleotides) under Sinohyriopsis cumingii. RNAcentral's name for it is "Hyriopsis cumingii tRNA-Trp". The record is from RNAcentral. RNAcentral also lists the same sequence under 1 other name. Lineage: Eukaryota; Metazoa; Mollusca; Bivalvia; Unionida; Unionidae.